AAAACAAUGUCCAAGGAACUUCUGUUGAUCAAUACCAACUGUUAAUACUAAGGUUUCGGCCAAGAGAAAAUUAAAAAGGUCCCUCUGAAGGAACUCUGGAUAAGGCGAUUUUGUGGAAAUUGCUGUGCUGUGUCUUUAGACUCCAACUCACCAUUGGGAGCACCAGAUACUUCAGUCAACAGAUCUUAGUGAACCUGGUUUUAAAAGUAAGUUAAACUGAAGGGCUUGAACCUACAAACCAAGGGGAACUUGUUAGUCACUAGGUGACUGUCAGGGUACCUGUUUUCUUUAUGCUAAAAAGGGAUUACACAAGUUGCGGGGGGUAGGCGGAUUGUUAGGCGUUGGGGAUGGUUAGGUAAGAGCAGGUCCGUCUGCUGGCCUCGGAGCGGACACUGACCACAGCUCCUUAAUCCAAGGAAGCAACAAAAAACGAACUGCAGUGGUUUAAAAUCCGGAGGAGACCACCGCGUUGGGCCGGAUGCGUGGUUCUUAAGAGAAACGUGCAUCCUCCCGGAGGCCAAGGCCUCCUUCAGUUCCAGAAAAAGACAUCUCAGCUUACACGAGGUACCGAACGAAGAGAGGGAGCCAGAACAUUUCCAGCAUACCGUCCCCCUUCCCCACCCCCGAACUACCCUGGAUCUCCGUCAAACACAGGAAAGGUGUUCUCUGUAACCUAACGGAUGACUUCACCCACUUCGUUCCCAGAAGCCUAAGAGCCACGCGACAGCACUAAGAGCCUUCGUUGGGAUUCACAAAAAGGAGAGGCGCACAGUCGUGCGCGAACCCCCAACCUCCCGGGGACGGAAGGUGGAAGAACGCAGGUGUGCCCCCUCCAGGGCUCCCGGCCGGGCCCGCCAGCACCCCGCUCGCGUCUCGCGCUCCUGUUACCUCGCAAGCAUAUCCGCCGGCGUCCGACACUUGAGCCGUCGGUUCCGCGGGUGCUUUCUCCUCCUCCCCGGCGGCCAAGGGGCUACUGGGAGCCGCCCUGGGAUCCCCGCCGCCACCCGGUGCAGCCUGGCUAACGUUCACGCCGGCGCCCACUCCUCCGGCCGACGAGGCGGCGGCGGCGCCUAGCAGCGCGUGGGUCCCGUCGGCGUUCCCGGCUGCCACGCUGUGCACCAGCCACGCGUCCACUCGGGUGCAGGGGAUGAAGGGGACCCCCAGCGCGCGGACCUCCCGGAGCAGCCGGCCCUCCGGCGGCGCCGCGGUGUCCCGCUCCCGGCCCUUGGGGUGCAGCAACUCGGCGUGCCCCCACCUUCCCGAGGCCGGGAAGGAGCUGAGCUCGUAGGCGAGGCUCGUCAGGCCGCCCGGGAGCAGCAGGUAGAGGUCUAGGUCCAGGUCCAGGUGCAGCCCCGCCAAGCUCAGCAGGAUGGUGAGGUGCAGGAGGCUGCCGCCGUCCGACCACCACGGCUUCAGUCUAUAAUCCUUUGAAAGUUGCUUCGGACACGGGGAUGGUGAUGAUCACACGUGGCAUUCAUUAGAGGAGCUGCAGCGUCCUGAACCCUGCUCUGUGCUGGGACCUUUCCAGGCACUAUCUCAUUUACUCCUCACAGCAACUCUGUGCAGUUUGAACAUCAUUUAUAUAGUCUCUUAAACAUUUUGUAUUUCACCUUGUCUUUUUUUUUUUAACAUGGCUCUCGAAAUUGUCCUUGUUGACUCAUAAAAAUUUCAUAUUUAUCAUAUGCUGCCUUCACCCACCUUUUAAAAAGGUAAAUACUAGUCAUAGUUUCUGCUUGCUGACAAAUGUUGUCUAUGAUACUGUAGUGGGUUGAACAGACCCCCCAAAUUCACGUCACCACACCAAACCUCAGAAUGUGACCUUUUUUGGAAAUAGGGUCUAUGCAGAUGUAACUAAGGUAAGGAUUGAGGUGACAUCAUACUGAAUUAGAGUGGGCCCUGAAUCCAAUGUGAGCGUUCUUACAAGAGACAGACAAGGGCACACACACCUUCAGAGAAGGAGGUGAUGCGAAGACAGAGGCAGAGACUGGAGCUAAUGCUAAACAAGCCACCAGAAGCGGGAAGAAGCCAGAAAGGAGUCUCCCCUAGAGCCUUCAGAGGGAGCACGGCCCUGCCCACAGUUUGAUUUCAGACUUUCUGGUCUCUGGAACUGAGAGAACACAUUUCCGUUGUUUUAAGCCACCAAGGUUUUGUGUGGUAAUUUGU
Hippopotamus amphibius kiboko is the source of this 2163-nucleotide long non-coding RNA. RefSeq lists it as uncharacterized. Lineage: Eukaryota; Metazoa; Chordata; Mammalia; Artiodactyla; Hippopotamidae. The record is from RefSeq and is a predicted model, not a curated record. The transcript is spliced from 3 exons.